CAGGGAAUCUUGCGCAAUGGGCGAAAGCCUGACGCAGCAACGCCGCGUGGGGGAUGAAGGCCUUCGGGUUGUAAACCCCUUUCAGGAGGGAAGAAAUUGACGGUACCUCCAGAAGAAGGACCGGCCAACUACGUG
RNAcentral lists this ribosomal RNA (135 nucleotides) under uncultured bacterium. Its description in RNAcentral is "partial 16S ribosomal RNA". It matches the Rfam family "Bacterial small subunit ribosomal RNA", at positions 355 to 507 of the family's 1533-position model. The record is from RNAcentral.